Denticeps clupeoides (denticle herring) is the source of this 775-nucleotide long non-coding RNA. The record is from Ensembl. Lineage: Eukaryota; Metazoa; Chordata; Actinopteri; Clupeiformes; Denticipitidae.
GUAUUGCCGGAUAACACGAACAGAUUUUCAAACAGAUCCAAAUGCAUGUGGACCUCAGCGCACUCUUACAGUCUGAAGAACAACAAAACGCUGAAGAAAUGGGUGAUUCAGAGCUAAACACUUUAAACAUCAGCAAUGCCAUUGAUGCUGUAUUACCUGAACUCUCAAUCGCAACUAAAAAAUCUCUUGAGGACACCUUAAAGUCACUUGGAGUGGAGUCCCCAGAAGAUUCAAGCCAGGAAAUUUAUUUCUGUUCUAAAGGAGACCACACAAAUUUCUGAAAGAGGAAGUGAAGGUUCUCAUGAAAUCUACAUACUAGAGUCAACGAAAAGAUAUCAACAAAGGAACAGACAUGAAAACCCUUACUGAAGAGUGGCCAUUUUUGUUUCAGGAAAGUGGAAUGGAAGUGCACUUUAAAGACCUCACAGGGAUACCACUUAAAGAGAUCUUCCUAAACAGCAUUGACACAAAGGGAAACAGGCUGUUGAACUUCAUGAGGAAUGUUUGUGCAACCAGGAACAAGCGUGUUACGAGCUGUCACAAAACUUCAAGUUUUGAGAGGACAGACAAAUGGUUGAUUCUUCUACUUCUCAAAAUUCUUGACUUGAUUCUUCUACUUCUCUCCUAUUUUGAUGAGAAAGAGGCGCUCCUUCUUCAUUAUGUAGAAGAGACAAGCCUUGAAAAGGAUGAAGAGUUGGGAAACUUGCCUGUGACCCCUUGCAUCAUUGUCUGUGUGGUGGUCUGUGCCUCCUCUUCUGGAAAGACACCUGCUUAA